Non-coding RNA from Nemania sp. FL0031, 108 nucleotides. NCBI's taxonomy places the organism in Eukaryota, Fungi, Ascomycota, Sordariomycetes, Xylariales, Xylariaceae. The record is from the annotation of a GenBank genome assembly.
GGCAAGAUGGCCGAGUUGGUUAUGGCGCCGUGUUCAGGAAAACUUGAUUGUAUCAUGAACAGCUUCGCGGUGGAGCAAUCCGCGUGGGUUCGAAUCCCACUCUUGUCA